UGUCCCCAAAGAGGAGAAGGGUCCCACCAGCCCCCUUCCCAGGGCACAGCCCCUGUGUUUCUGUACUGGUACCAGCACCCAUCUUUACUCCAGACUGGGAGAAGGCUGCCCGGGGUGGGAAGCAGAGGCUGCUGGAAGCCCUGAGGAGAAACCCAAACCUCCUGAAGCAGUUUCGGCCCAUCCUGGAGGAAGUGCUGGAGGAAAAGCUGGAGAGCAUGGGGGUCAAGAAGGUUGCGAAGGGGAUCUCCACUCGGACCUACAAAAGCCUCCAGGCUCUGGUCAGGCUUCAGCAGCAACAGAAGGCUGAGAAAUUUCCUGGUCUCCUCCACCUGAGGGAUGAGUUGGUCCGAGAAGUCAUGAGGAAAGUCAGGCGAUGCAAGAAGCCCAGCAGUGCUUUACCUCGACAGCGCUCCAUCAUCCCAGCUCAAAGCCUGAAGACCCCCAGGUCCCUUCGUGGGUCACAGCCCAUGGCAAUACCAGCUGCAUUAGAGCCUGAAGCCUCGGUGGUACCCCAGCCUUCUCCUCGGAGCAGACCCCGCUCCACCCACAGCCCCCCGAGGACUCCCUGGGGCACCCUGCAGAUGUCCAAAGCCAGUAGCCCCCGUCGAGGAAUUGCCCCACGGCGGAGGUGAGUCCCAUCACCUCCUUUCAGUCUCCAGGCAGGUGGGCAGUGCCCAAGACCCUCAGCCAUCAGCCACCCCCCAAGUAUUCUGGGUUCUGCCCAAAUACCAGCACCUCUGGAAACUGCCAAGCAGUGGGUGAUUGUGGCACCCCAGAGACAUUUAUUUAGACAAGGAAUAUCCUGGGAUGUCCCUUGACCAUAUGGGCUGACUGAAACAGUUGGCAAAGUCAGACUUGAGGGUUUGUACCCACCAUGAGGUGCUGGAGACAAACACAGGGCAUUUCCCACUGGUCUUCAGCUCCUUCUUCCCCUCCCAGAACCUCCACAAGGGGAUGAAGGAGUUCCCUUGGGGUUUUAGGGCAAAAAGAGUAAAGAUAUAAACCAAAAGCUUAGAGAAACUGUGCAGAGAAGGAAUAACAUGGAGAGGGUAUGAGAUGGCAGCAGAGAGGAAGAGGAGCUCAUCUAUGACCAAGGCCAGGUGAGGAAAAGGAGUUACUUGUUUGUCCCAGGAGUAAGAGAAAACCAGGUGGAGGUUUUAAACCCAAGCAAAGCAAUAGUGGGGGAAGGUCUGGGUGUGGGUACUUGCUGGAGAUGCUUUUGCAGCUGGUGGGUGUGAUGGAUCUGUCCAUGUCCAAGGGGAGCGCAGGGCUUCUCCAUAGGCUGCCCUGCUCAGGGCUGGAUCACAGCCCAGGGCUUCCUGCACCUGCUUCAGAAGAGGGGAAGGGGGACACCAGAGCACCCCCAGGCCUGACCCACCUCUCUCUGCACCAGCCCAGAAGUGGUGCUAGGGGGGAAGAAGCCCACCCUGUCCCCGGUGAAGCUCAGCCCUUUCUCUGCAGCGGCGCAGGGGGAUGAGACUGACUCUGAGGGGUCAGACCAGGACUGGCUGGAGGAAAUUGCUGGUUCAGGUACUCUUCUCCCUCUUCUUGUAGCAACCCCUGCGGGUCAGCGAGGUGGUGGGGACAGCCCUAGUUACCACCAUCAGUGCCACUGUGUCACCUUCUUCCCGG
RNAcentral lists this long non-coding RNA (1632 nucleotides) under Calidris pugnax (ruff). RNAcentral describes it as "lncRNA (ENSCPUG00000011767.1)". Lineage: Eukaryota; Metazoa; Chordata; Aves; Charadriiformes; Scolopacidae. The record is from RNAcentral.